RNAcentral lists this ribosomal RNA (437 nucleotides) under Lachnospiraceae bacterium oral taxon 100. RNAcentral's name for it is "bacterial SSU rRNA". It matches the Rfam family "Bacterial small subunit ribosomal RNA", at positions 28 to 447 of the family's 1533-position model. Lineage: Bacteria; Bacillati; Bacillota; Clostridia; Lachnospirales; Lachnospiraceae. The record is from RNAcentral.
GAUGAACGCUGGCGGCGUGCUUAACACAUGCAAGUCGAACGGAGUUUAUACGGAAAGCGUCUUCGGAGGUCGGAAGUAUAAACUUAGUGGCGGACGGGUGAGUAACGCGUGGGUAACCUGCCUUAUACAAGGGGAUAACAGAGGGAAACUUCUGCUAAUACCGUAUAAAAAUAUUUCACGCAUGUGAGAUAUUUGAAAGAUUUAUCAGUAUGAGAUGGACCCGCGUCUGAUUAGGUAGUUGGUGAGGUAGAGGCUCACCAAGCCGACGAUCGGUAGCCGAUCUGAGAGGAUGACCGGCCACAUUGGGACUGAGACACGGCCCAAACUCCUACGGGAGGCAGCAGUGGGGAAUAUUGGACAAUGGGGGCAACCCUGAUCCAGCGACGCCGCGUGAGUGAAGAAGUAUUUCGGUAUGUAAAGCUCUAUCGAUAACGGAA